AUGGGCCAGAAAUUGUCCUGGUACCCUUUCACCAACACACAGAACCAGAAGACCCCUCCGUCCUGCAGCACCUGCCAUGAGCAUCGGCCUCCUGUGCUGUGCGGCCUUUUCUCUCCUGUGGGCAGGGGGGUCCUGGGCAGGGACCCUUGUGUGGAUUUCAAGGCCCAGCGCCUUCCCAUUGAGGGUGCAGCAGCAGCUUUGUUCCUCUCUGCAGGUCCAGGGAAUGCUGAUGUCACUCAGACCCCAAAAUUCCAGCUCCUGAAGACAGGACAGAGCCUGACACUGCAGUGUGCCCAGGAUAUGAACUAUAACUACAUGUUCUGGUAUCGACAAGACCCAGGUGUGGGGCUGAGGCGGAUUCAUUACUCAGUUGCUGCUGGUAUCACUGACAAAGGAGAAGUCCCCAAUGGCUACAAUGUCUCCAGAUUAAACAGAGAAGAUUUCCCGCUCAGGCUGGAGUCCGCGGCUCUCUCCCAGACAUCUGUGUACUUCUGUGCCAGCAGUGACAUCACAGUGCUGCACGGCCGUCUCCUCUCUGCACAUAAAGUCAGGUAGGCUCUUCCCUCCUCCCCCACCCAAGACUCAGGGAUGCCCUGGGCAGAGUUCUCUGCACCACGAACCUUGGUACCCCGACUGGCCCCAAGUGGCCCAGACAUUAUGAGCCUUGCUCUGUGCCAGGUGCCUCUGCAGGCAGUCUCAGCCAGGACUGGACUGGUCCCAGGUCCUCAUAAGUCUCCUUUGUUGCUCUGUCCUUUUCUCAGAGCUCUCCUUUUGGGGUGGGGCCAGGGCUUCCCCAGCUCCUACUUUUCUACCCAUCAUACUGGGUCCGAGGCCCCCAGGGUGGAACACAGAUUUGUAGUUCACAUCCAUCUAGACUCCCGUCUCUCCCUGGUGACCAUGUUGCUUCCUUUCGCUUGGGUUUCCCCCAGCCCCCACCCUCACAUGGUCUCUCCUGCAGCCCACCUUUCUCAUCUGGGCAGUAAUCCUCCAAGGCCUUGCUGGGUUUCUCCUCCCCUCACCUCCCCGCCCCUCUCUACUGCAGCCAUGAGGCGAGACCCUCUUCUGUGCCUCCUUCCUUCCCAUCGCAGAGAUUUCAAAGGGCAUUUUCUCUGCCCUGGGCUGGAGCCUCCCUUCCUCUAGUGGUUAGCUCCUACCUGUGCUUCAGAUCUCAGCAUGCUCAGCCCCUUCUGCAGGAAGCACUCCCUCCCCUCCCAGCUGAGAUCAACUUCUCUCAUAAGCUCUCAUAGAAUCAGAUGUCUGUUAGUAACCUUUAGCACCAUUGGGCUUUCUCAGAUACUUGUCUGAUUAUUUUUGUGC
Non-coding RNA from Chlorocebus sabaeus (green monkey), 1317 nucleotides. The record is from the annotation of a RefSeq genome assembly. Lineage: Eukaryota; Metazoa; Chordata; Mammalia; Primates; Cercopithecidae.